GGAAUGGUGUCGUGCAUCAUCGUUCAAGGUGAUUGCUAGGCAUCUUGCUUCUUAUAAUUAAAAACGACUCUCGGCAACGGAUAUCUUGGCUCACGCAUCGAUGAAGAACGUAGCAAAAUGCGAUACUUGGUGUGAAUUGCAGAAUCCCGUGAACCAUCGAGUUUUUGAACGCAAGUUGCGCCCAAGGCCUUUUGGUUGAGGGCACGUCUGCCUGGGCGUCACACAUCUUGUCACCUCCCAACACACCUUUUAACAGGGAUGUUGUAUUGGGUGGCGGAGAUUGGUCUCCCGUUCCUAAGGUUCGGUUGGCUUAAAUAGGAGUCCCUUUCGAUGGACACACGAUUAGUGGUGGUUGACAAGACCCUCUUAUUGAGUCGUGUGUAAAAAGGAGUAAGGAAAGAUCUCUUAAACACCCUAAUGUGUCGUCUUGUACGAUGCUUUGAUCGCGACCCCAGGUCAGGCGGGACUACCCGCUGAGUUUAAGCAUAUCAAUAAGCGGAGGA
RNAcentral lists this ribosomal RNA (503 nucleotides) under Jacobaea cilicia. Its description in RNAcentral is "eukaryotic LSU rRNA". The stretch from base 66 to 221 matches the Rfam family "5.8S ribosomal RNA". Lineage: Eukaryota; Viridiplantae; Streptophyta; Magnoliopsida; Asterales; Asteraceae. The record is from RNAcentral.